UCCCUGGUGGUCUAGUGGUUAAGAUUUGGCCCUUUCACUGCCACGUCCCGAGUUCAAUUCCCGGUCAGGGAA
This is a non-coding RNA of Terrapene triunguis (Three-toed box turtle), 72 nucleotides long. The record is from the annotation of a RefSeq genome assembly. NCBI's taxonomy places the organism in Eukaryota, Metazoa, Chordata, Testudines, Emydidae.